This 251-nucleotide ribosomal RNA is filed under the name uncultured prokaryote. RNAcentral's name for it is "partial 16S rRNA". It matches the Rfam family "Bacterial small subunit ribosomal RNA", at positions 525 to 775 of the family's 1533-position model. The record is from RNAcentral.
ACGGAGGGUGCAAGCGUUAUUCGGAAUUACUGGGCGUAAAGCGCACGUAGGCCGCUUUGUAAGUCAGGGGUGAAAUCCCACGGCUCAACCGUGGAACUGCCCUUGAAACUGCAGAGCUUGAAUCCUGGAGAGGGUGGCGGAAUUCCUGGUGUAGGAGUGAAAUCCGUAGAUAUCAGGAGGAACACCGGUGGCGAAGGCGGCCACCUGGACAGGCAUUGACGCUGAGGUGCGAAAGUGUGGGGAGCAAACAG